GAUGAACGCUGGCGGCGUGCCUAAUACAUGCAAGUCGAGCGAACAGACGAGGAGCUUGCUCCUCUGACGUUAGCGGCGGACGGGUGAGUAACACGUGGAUAACCUACCUAUAAGACUGGGAUAACUUCGGGAAACCGAGGCUAUAACCGGAUAAUAUAUUAAACGGCAUGUUUCAUUAGUGAAGGACGGUUUGGCUUUCACUUUUGGUUGAUUCGCCGCCGCAUUAGCUAGUUGGUAAGGUAACGGCUUACCAAGGCAACGAUGCGUAGCCGACCUGAGAGGGUGAUCGGCCACACUGGAACUGAGACACGGUCCAGACUCCUACGGGAGGCAGCAGUAGGGAAUCUUCCGCAAUGGGCGAAAGCCUGACGGAGCAACGCCGCGUGAGUGAUGAAGGUCUUCGGAUCGUAAAACUCUGUUAUUAGGGAAGAACAAAUGUGUAAGUAACUAUGCACGUCUUGACGGUACCUAAUCAGAAAGCCACGGCUAACUACGUG
RNAcentral lists this ribosomal RNA (497 nucleotides) under uncultured bacterium. RNAcentral's name for it is "partial 16S ribosomal RNA". It matches the Rfam family "Bacterial small subunit ribosomal RNA", at positions 28 to 507 of the family's 1533-position model. The record is from RNAcentral.